Molecule: ribosomal RNA, 405 nt
Filed under: uncultured bacterium
Lineage: Bacteria
Description: partial 16S ribosomal RNA
Rfam family: Bacterial small subunit ribosomal RNA
Source: RNAcentral
GAUGAACGCUGGCGGCGUGCCUAAUACAUGCAAGUCGAGCGAAGCGGGGACGGGUGGGUAACACGAUGAUAACCUCCUAUAAGACUGGUAUAACUUCGGGAAACCGGAGGUAAACCGGAUACUUAUAGUUGGAUCCCCGCUGCAUUAGCUAGUGGGUAAGGGAACGGCUUACCAAGGCAACGCUGCAUGGCCGACCUGGAGGAGUGAGCGGCCAAACGGGAACUGAGACACGGUGCAGACUCCUACGGGAGGCAGCGGGAGGGAAUCUUCCGCAAUGGGCGAAAGCCUGACGGAGCAACGCAGCGAGGGUGAUGAAGGUCUUCGGACCGUAAAACUCUGUUACUAGGGAGGCGGUACCUAAUCAGAAAGCCACGGCUAACUACGUGCCAGCAGCCGCGGUAAUUC